GAUGAACGCUGGCGGCGUGCCUAAUACAUGCAAGUCGAGCGAACAGACGAGGAGCUUGCUCCUCUGACGUUAGCGGCGGACGGGUGAGUAACACGUGGAUAACCUACCUAUAAGACUGGGAUAACUUCGGGAAACCGGAGCUAAUACCGGAUAAUAUAUUGAACCGCAUGGUUCAAUAGUGAAAGACGGUUUUGCUGUCACUUAUAGAUGGAUCCGCGCCGCAUUAGCUAGUUGGUAAGGUAACGGCUUACCAAGGCAACGAUGCGUAGCCGACCUGAGAGGGUGAUCGGCCACACUGGAGCUGAGACACGGUCCAGACACCUACGGGAGGCAGCAGUAGGGAAUCUUCCGCAAUGGGCGAAAGCCUGACGGAGCAACGCCGCGUGAGGGAUGAAGGUCUUCGGAUCGUAAAACUCUGUUAUUAGGGAAGAACAAAUGUGUAAGUAACUAUGCACGUCUUGACGGUACCUAAUCAGAAGGCCACGGCUAACUACGUG
RNAcentral lists this ribosomal RNA (497 nucleotides) under uncultured bacterium. Its description in RNAcentral is "partial 16S ribosomal RNA". It matches the Rfam family "Bacterial small subunit ribosomal RNA", at positions 28 to 507 of the family's 1533-position model. The record is from RNAcentral.